AUACAAUGGUGAGGGUAUUUUUGAACCAACGACUUAAAUUGCUCCCAAGCUUCUUGAAAACUUUCUCCUUCCAUUUAUUUAAAUGUUGUGAUCUCUCUCAUCAGUUG
Molecule: non-coding RNA, 107 nt
Organism: Gossypium hirsutum (cotton)
Lineage: Eukaryota; Viridiplantae; Streptophyta; Magnoliopsida; Malvales; Malvaceae
Source: Rfam